UACGUAGGGUGCAAGCGUUAAUCGGAAUUACUGGGCGUAAAGCGUGCGCAGGCGGUUUUGUAAGUCUGUCGUGAAAUCCCCGGGCUUAACCUGGGAACUGCAUUUGUGACUGCAAGGCUAGAGUAUGGCAGAGGGGGGUAGAAUUCCACGUGUAGCAGUGAAAUGCGUAGAUAUGUGGAGGAAGACCGAUGGCGAAGGCAGCCCCCUGGGUCAAUACUGACGCUCAUGCACGAAAGCGUGGGGAGCAAACAGG
RNAcentral lists this ribosomal RNA (253 nucleotides) under uncultured bacterium. Its description in RNAcentral is "partial 16S ribosomal RNA". It matches the Rfam family "Bacterial small subunit ribosomal RNA", at positions 524 to 776 of the family's 1533-position model. The record is from RNAcentral.